This is a long non-coding RNA of Papaver somniferum (opium poppy), 1332 nucleotides long. RefSeq lists it as uncharacterized. The record is from RefSeq and is a predicted model, not a curated record. The transcript is spliced from 6 exons. NCBI's taxonomy places the organism in Eukaryota, Viridiplantae, Streptophyta, Magnoliopsida, Ranunculales, Papaveraceae.
UUAAUGCAAUGAUUGAUUGAAUGUUUCCGUAACUGAAUUACAUAUGAUAUUUCAAAAUGAUUUCUUCUUUCUAGGUUUUCAGAUUUAUUCACUUCUUCAACCCAAAUCUCUCGGCUUUUAGGUUUAUUCUUCUUUCAAUAUGGUUUUUCUUUUUGGUUUAUUCUUCUUUCUAGGUUUUUAUUUUGAUUCACUUCUGCAACCCAAAUCUCCCAGCUUUCAGGUUUGAUUUUCUUUUCUCAAUUCUUCUUUACAAUUCUUAUAUUCCAAUCUGUGUAUGAGUAAUUCCUUAAUUUUUGUGGGUUUUAUUUGUUCCCCAAAACUAUCAAUGGAGGGAAUAGUUUUGGGUGGUGCAAACUCAAUGGAAGGAACUUCUAUCUGUGUUACACCAAUUCCUGGUGGUUUAUUCUUUUUGGCUUAUGAAGUUGGUUGUAGGUGUUUUCGAAUAUGGGUUCUCAUUCAAAUCGGCUUAAUCAUGUAUAUGGCACAGGAAGUUGUUAAUUUACACCACCACAUUUAGUCAUGUAUUGAUGCUCAUCCUUUGCACCAACCUUUCAGUCGUUGCUCUUAAUUGAUAUACACACCUGAAUACCAGAAGAAAUUUCUAAGAAGGAUCCUGUAUAGAUAUUGCAGUCCUCCCAUUUCACUGUUCUUUACACCCUGAAAUGCAGGGAAUAGUUUUGGGUCUUUCGUGAAAUGCUUACAUGGCCAGCAAAAAUAAAGUUUGCUAUUGGACUCUUGCCAGAAUCGGUUGGUCGACACGCUUAUGCGGAGCUCAAGAUGGCUUCAGCGUCAAAAAAGUGGAUGAGGAAACAUGUAUCAAACUUAAAUUCGUUUCAGGGAUUGAUUGAUAGAUUAAAUUUGAAAUAGUGGCCGAAAGUCUACAAUUGGUGAGGGUAGAAACAUCUUUUUCCGCAGUAUCAUGUUCAUCAUCAGAAAUUUAAAACUGGUGAAGGCAGAAACAUUUCAGAUUCAAAAGAAAUGGUUUUCCAUGUUUGUAACCUAACUCAGAUGGUGUAAUGCCUUCAUACAUAUGGAGGUAACAUUGUUACGACUUGAGAUUGCUCACUUCUGCAGAAUAAGAACGUUUGUAAAAUGAUCUCGAUUUAAAUCUCCUUGAUGGUGUAUCAGUUUAAACUCAAGAUGGCAUUUUGCUUGGUGUGGUAUUUAUGCUUGGUCACAAGAAAUAUGUGAUAUUUAACUUGAGAACCUCUUAAUUUCAUACGCUUUUACUCCUACAAUCCUUGGAUAAUGGUCUUUGUAACAUGUAACACUGUUCUAAAUUGAUUUUUGUUAGUCGUCGAAUCUUUAUUUUUCAUUGUCGUUGGAAUACAU